Molecule: ribosomal RNA, 570 nt
Filed under: uncultured bacterium
Lineage: Bacteria
Description: bacterial SSU rRNA
Rfam family: Bacterial small subunit ribosomal RNA
Source: RNAcentral
AGGCAGCAGUGAGGAAUAUUGGUCAAUGGGCGAGAGCCUGAACCAGCCAAGUAGCGUGCAGGAUGACGGCCCUAUGGGUUGUAAACUGCUUUUAUCGGGGGAUAAAGUGAGGGACGUGUCCCUUAUUGUAGGUACCCGAUGAAUAAGGACCGGCUAAUUCCGUGCCAGCAGCCGCGGUAAUACGGAAGGUCCGGGCGUUAUCCGGAUUUAUUGGGUUUAAAGGGAGCGCAGGCUGAUUAUUAAGCGUGACGUGAAAUGUAGCCGCUCAACGGCUGAACUGCGUCGCGAACUGGUAGUCUUGAGUGAGUUCGAUGUUGGCGGAAUUCGUGGUGUAGCGGUGAAAUGCUUAGAUAUCACGAAGAACUCCGAUUGCGAAGGCAGCCAACAAGGCCUUUACUGACGCUAAAGCUCGAAGGUGCGGGUAUCGAACAGGAUUAGAUACCCUGGUAGUCCGCACGGUAAACGAUGGAUGCCCGCUGUUUGCGAUAUACUGUGAGCGGCCAAGAGAAAUCGUUAAGCAUCCCACCUGGGGAGUACGCCGGCAACGGUGAAACUCAAAGGAAUUGACGG